Molecule: ribosomal RNA, 459 nt
Filed under: uncultured bacterium
Lineage: Bacteria
Description: partial 16S ribosomal RNA
Rfam family: Bacterial small subunit ribosomal RNA
Source: RNAcentral
CCUACGGGAGGCAGCAGUGAGGAAUAUUGGUCAAUGGGCGGGAGCCUGAACCAGCCAAGUCGCGUGAGGGAAGACGGUCCUAUGGAUUGUAAACCUCUUUAGGCGGGGAGCAAUGCCGGGCACGCGUGCCCGGAGGGAGAGUACCCGCAGAAUAAGCAUCGGCUAACUCCGUGCCAGCAGCCGCGGUAAUACGGAGGAUGCGAGCGUUAUCUGGAUUUAUUGGGUUUAAAGGGUGCGUAGGCGGAUUUUUAAGUCAGCGGUAAAAUGCGGUGCUCAACGCCGUCGAGCCGUUGAAACUGGCGUUCUUGAGUGGGCGAGAAGUAUGCGGAAUGCGUGGUGUGGCGGUGAAAUGCAUAGAUAUCACGCAGAACUCCGACUGCGAAGGCAGCAUACCGGCGCCCUACUGACGCUGAGGCACGAAAGCGUGGGUAUCGAACAGGAUUAGAUACCCCAGUAGUC